GGGAAAUGCCAUAUUUGUACAUAGGCUGCUCCAAAACUAAUGCCUCCUAUUUAUUCAUAUGGAAAUUACAACUGAUACAAAAAGCAUAAUUGUAUGGGAACUGCUGAGUCACGGCCUGAAGCUCUGAUUGAUCACCUGAGGCGAGCAAUGAGUCAGCCAGAGGAGUACAGGUGAAGGCAAAUCACCUGUGCUGCCAGAAGGGGUGGAGCCAGGCUCCACCCCUCCUAGACCUAUUUAAGAGCUGGCUACCAGUGGGGAAGGAUCUCUUCUGGAGACUGGCUCUGCUGGAGUUUUGUGAGUGAGCCCAGGAUAGGGGUGAUCCCUGAAUUCAAUUUGAAGGUCAAUCCCAUGCAGUUUAAGCAGGAACUCUGUAAGCCCUGACAACAUGCUUAAAGCAAACGCUUCGUAGAUUGAAGUCCAAGUACUGGGAGGGGAGGAGACUGCAGAAAAGGGUGGAAGGUGGAUGCACGGAAACUUGACUUCCUGGGGAAAGAGUUGGCUUGUUCCAAGGAG
Tympanuchus pallidicinctus (lesser prairie-chicken) is the source of this 513-nucleotide long non-coding RNA. RefSeq lists it as uncharacterized. The record is from RefSeq and is a predicted model, not a curated record. Lineage: Eukaryota; Metazoa; Chordata; Aves; Galliformes; Phasianidae. The transcript is spliced from 3 exons.